This 499-nucleotide ribosomal RNA is filed under the name uncultured bacterium. RNAcentral's name for it is "partial 16S ribosomal RNA". It matches the Rfam family "Bacterial small subunit ribosomal RNA", at positions 28 to 507 of the family's 1533-position model. The record is from RNAcentral.
GAUGAACGCUGGCGGCGUGCCUAAUACAUGCAAGUCGAGCGAACAGACGAGAGUGCUUGCACUCUCUGACGUUAGCGGCGGACGGGUGAGUAACACGUGGGUAACCUACCUAUAAGACUGGGAUAACUUCGGGAAACCGGAGCUAAUACCGGAUAAUAUUUAGCUUCGCAUGAAGCAAUAGUAAAAGACGGUUCUGCUGUCACUUAUAGAUGGACCCGCGGUGUAUUAGCUAGUUGGUGAGGUAACGGCUCACCAAGGCAACGAUGCAUAGCCGACCUGAGAGGGUGAUCGGCCACACUGGGACUGAGACACGGCCCAGACUCCUACGGGAGGCAGCAGUAGGGAAUCUUCCGCAAUGGGCGAAAGUCUGACGGAGCAACGCCGCGUGAGUGAAGAAGGUUUUCGGAUCGUAAAACUCUGUUGUAAGGGAAGAACAAGUACGUUAGUAACUGAACGUACCUUGACGGUACCUUACCAGAAAGCCACGGCUAACUACGUG